This 253-nucleotide ribosomal RNA is filed under the name uncultured bacterium. Its description in RNAcentral is "partial 16S ribosomal RNA". It matches the Rfam family "Bacterial small subunit ribosomal RNA", at positions 524 to 776 of the family's 1533-position model. The record is from RNAcentral.
UACGGAGGUGGCAGGCGUUACUCGGAUUGAUUGGGUGUAAAGGGCGUGUAGGUGGUAUGUUAAGUCGAAUGUGAAAUCCCUUGGCUCAACCAAGGAACUGCAUUCGAAACUGACGUGCUUGAGCGAUAGAGAGGUAAGUGGAAUUCCCGGUGUAACAGUGAAAUGUGUAGAUAUCGGGAGGAACACCAGUGGCGAAGGCGACUUACUGGCUAUCUGCUGACACUGAAACGCGAGAGCUAGGGGAGCAAACAGG